AAUCCAUGCAUCGGACAUUUCCGAAUUAAGUCUUUAAAUUAUUCCCAAACUUCAUAUAGUGUUUUAUCCUCUGAUUGUUAAAUAAAUGUGAUGUCAUUUCUAAGCUU
Small nucleolar RNA from Gossypium raimondii (Peruvian cotton), 107 nucleotides. It matches the Rfam family "Plant small nucleolar RNA R71". Rfam says of the family: R71 is a member of the C/D box family of snoRNAs containing the C (UGAUGA) and D (CUGA) box motifs. Multiple nearly identical copies of this snoRNA have been identified in Arabidopsis, and it is thought to function as a 2'-O-ribose methylation guide for 18S ribosomal RNA. NCBI's taxonomy places the organism in Eukaryota, Viridiplantae, Streptophyta, Magnoliopsida, Malvales, Malvaceae. The record is from Rfam.